GAUGAACGCUGGCGGCGUGCCUAAUACAUGCAAGUCGAGCGAAGCGGGGAAGGGUGAGUAACACGUGGAUAACCUCCUAUAAGACUGGGCUAACUUCGGGAAAACGGAGCUAAACCGGAUCCUUAUAGAUGGAUCCGCGCUGCAUUAGCUAGUUGGUAAGGUAACGGCUUACCAAGGCCACGAUGCAGAGCCGACCGGAGAGGUUGAUCGGCCACACUGGAACUGAGACACGGUACAGACUCCUACGGGAGGCAGCAGGAGGGAAUCGUCCGCAAUGGGCGAAAGCCUGACGGAGCAACGCCGCGUGAGUGAUGAAGGUCUUCGGAUCGUAAAACUCUGUUAUUAGGGAAGCGGUACCUAAUCAGAAAGCCACGGCUAACUACGUGCCAGCAGCCGCGGUAAUUC
Molecule: ribosomal RNA, 405 nt
Filed under: uncultured bacterium
Lineage: Bacteria
Description: partial 16S ribosomal RNA
Rfam family: Bacterial small subunit ribosomal RNA
Source: RNAcentral